Molecule: long non-coding RNA, 1758 nt
Filed under: Homo sapiens (human)
Lineage: Eukaryota; Metazoa; Chordata; Mammalia; Primates; Hominidae
Description: HSALNT0032447
Source: RNAcentral
CCCGCCCCUCACGUCACCGCCCGACGGCCCCGCCCCGCGCCCCAAGUUUUGGGAGGGUUCCGCUCUCCCCACCCGGUACCAGGACCCACCCGGGCCCGCGCUCCCUGCGGCUUCCAGGGACCCUCCAGCCCCCACGCACCCUCCUGCAAAGCCGAGGGUUAAGCUGGGGAAAGGGGGCCUCUAGGAAGGCGACCCCCCUGGAAAUGCCUGGCAGCUCCAAAAACACUAAUGAAACUCAGCUCCAGCCUCCGCCCCUCCAGUUGUGGGUGGCCCCUCUUGCGGUUCGUCUGAGGCUAGGGGACUAGGCGCAUCGCCUAGCGAGACUCCAGUGGCCUUUUCUGUCCAGUUUGUAACCGGAACUAGACCGACCCCGGCCGCCCCCUCCAGUGCUGGGGCGGGUGAGGAAUGGCCCCGCCGGGGAGGCGGGGGAGGGAGGCCUGGGCCACCCUGGGGUCUGACCUUUGCUCCACCUCUUAGGUGCUCACGACCCAGAGUGGUGCCCUGCUUGGUACUGCCACUGGAUCCUCUGGCUUAUGAAGCCGUCCAGGACAGGAAGGGUGGGGGGUGGUCCUUAGUUCUCUUCGUGGGGUCAUGCAGAGUGGUUUCCUCGAGGUCCCACGCCCGUCUCAGGAAGCCAGAAACGCAAGAUGCCGGGCGCUCGGCCCGAACCCGUGCCGCGGCCCAAGGGGCAAGGCGGAUACCGAGGCAAGGCCUAAAGGGCCGGACUCUGACCGCACCCUCCGGACACUGCAGGGCUCCGCCGGCCAGAGGCGGCCUUGGCGCCAACCACACCUAGCAGCGGGGUCCCCGGGCCCACCGAUGCGCCCUCCUAGCCCCGCGCUCCUUCGAGGGGUUCCAAGGUGACUCAGAGACGCAGCUGACACAAUUCUGAGGCCCCCAGGCUCUCGGAGGCGGAAUCAGCUGGAAAGGAACAUUGCUAAGUAGGAAUUUCAGGCACCUGUGAACUGAGCCCACUCAAUAAUCGGCCCUUUCCCUUAACCAAACUCAGCAAAGGAAGAAAGACCAAGUUGCUGCGGAUGCACAGAGCCACGUGGGUGCGGGUCCUCUAGAAACAGGAAUUCAGAGUCAGUAGAUAUGGAAAUGUUAUGGUUUGCAGUCUUCGGACCAUGCUGCUUUCAUGCUGUUCACAUGAUUCUCCUCGGACUGCGAGGUAAAGUCCAAGAAACAAGUCGAAUGUUUGUAUUUUCAUAGAAAAAACAUCUGUAAGGGUGCACACCGACUGUUAACCACGGUUACGCGGGGAGGGGAAACAAGGGAGUUACAUUUUUUUACUCCCUUGACUUUGGAUUUUGUAUUUUUCCAGUUGUAUUUACUUUCAUAAUUUAGAAAGCUAAUAAAACAUGUUUAAAGAAACAGAAGCUAGAAAUUCUCUAAGAACUCUAGGAAGUAGAGGCCGGGCGCGGUGGCUCACGCCUGUAAUCCCAGCACUUUGGGAGGCCGAGGCGGGUGGAUCACAAGGUCAGGAGUUCGAGACCUGUCUGGCCAACAUGGUGAAACCCUGUUUCUACUAAAAAUACAAAAAUUAAUGGUGACAUGUACCUGUAAUCCCAGCCACUUGGGAGGCUGAGGCAGGACAAUCGCCGAACUCAGGGAGGCGGAGGUUGCAGUAAGCCGAAAUCGUGCCACUGUACUCCAGCCUGGGUGACAGAGUGAGACUCUGUCUCAAAAAAAAAAAAAGAACUCUAGGGAGUAUAAAUUAAUAAAUGAAGUCUAUGUCUUCAUUCUGUAUCAAAAUAA